This 716-nucleotide long non-coding RNA is filed under the name Pan troglodytes (chimpanzee). RNAcentral describes it as "long non-coding RNA NONPTRT009161". The record is from RNAcentral. Lineage: Eukaryota; Metazoa; Chordata; Mammalia; Primates; Hominidae.
UUUUCUAGGAAAAGUGUUCAUACUUUCAUUCAGAAAAUAGAACAGAAUGCUUGUUACCUACUAAGCCUCCCUGACAGUUACUGGGGACUCAAAUGCUGAGCGUACUCAGGAGAACAGGCAGCAAGUGACAAUGUGGACAGCAUUCCAAAUCUCUUAGCCUCACCAGUGUAGAAUUCACAGAACCACCUGCAAUUCAAGUUAGAGGAUUGCAGUCCAGUUUUCUGACAGUAAGUAAUUUCCAUCACUAUGAGUGCAGACAUGUGCCCUGGGAUAAGAUGAGUGAUGUUCCAAGUCACCACCCUGAAUGAGGACCAGGAUUGACAAAGGUGGACUUUACCUUCCUCAAGUUCUUCUUCCAAAAACCCAGAGAUCUCACUUUCCCAGAGCUCAGGCAUCAGAACUGAUGGAAAAACAAGGUAGCACCUUUCUCCGAGAAGAUCAGGGGGCUGUUUGAACACAAGUCAACAUUAUAUAUGGUUCUUCUGUUCAUGCCUGUUUGCUUGGUUGCUCAAUUCUGCUUCCGCUGUGGGUUCUUUGUUCCCUUUCUUUUGCUUAUUGCUGCUCAUGGUUGUAAUGGUGUUCUGUUAUAUCCAUUUACCUAAAGCACUUGAGACUUAUGUUUUAGGAAUCUAGAAGACCAAGAAGACAUGCUUAAAAAUGGAAUUUUUUAUGAUUGCAACAUGGUGAUUCACCCUUUUAUAUAUUACAAGUUCAAU